This 636-nucleotide ribosomal RNA is filed under the name uncultured Bacteroidota bacterium. RNAcentral describes it as "bacterial SSU rRNA". It matches the Rfam family "Bacterial small subunit ribosomal RNA", at positions 338 to 974 of the family's 1533-position model. Lineage: Bacteria; Pseudomonadati; Bacteroidota. The record is from RNAcentral.
CCUACGGGAGGCAGCAGUGAGGAAUCUUGCGCAACGGGGGCAACCCUGACGCAGCCACGCCGUGUGCUGGAAGACGGCCCUAUGGGUUGUAAACAGCUUUUGGUCGGGAAGAACCCGGGGGUUUCGAUCCCCGCUGACGGUACCGAUUGAAUAAGCACCGGCUAACUCCGUGCCAGCAGCCGCGGUAAUACGGAGGGUGCAAGCGUUGUCCGGAAUUAUUGGGUGUAAAGGGUGUGCAGGCGGAAGUCUAAGUCGGAGGUGAAAUCUUGCCGCUUAACGGUAAAAGGGCCUUCGAUACUGGAUUUCUUGAGUUCGGAAGAGGUUGGUGGAAUUCGUGGUGUAGCGGUGAAAUGCAUAGAUAUCACGAAGAACACCGGUGGCGAAGGCGGCCAACUGGUCCGACACUGACGCUGAGACACGAAAGCGUGGGGAGCGAACAGGAUUAGAUACCCUGGUAGUCCACGCUGUAAACGAUGCAUGCUAGUUGUUGUCCCUUUGGGGGCAGUGACGCAGUUAACGCAGUAAGCAUGCCACCUGGGGAGUACGUUCGCAAGAAUGAAACUCAAAGGAAUUGACGGGGGCCCGCACAAGCGGUGGAGCAUGUGGCUUAAUUCGAUGCAACGCGAAGAACCUUAC